RNAcentral lists this ribosomal RNA (407 nucleotides) under uncultured bacterium. Its description in RNAcentral is "partial 16S ribosomal RNA". It matches the Rfam family "Bacterial small subunit ribosomal RNA", at positions 28 to 526 of the family's 1533-position model. The record is from RNAcentral.
GACGAACGCUGGCGGCGUGCCUAAUACAUGCAAGUAGGACGCAGUUGCGAACGGGUGAGUAACGCGUAGGUAACUACCUAUUAGAGGGGGAUAACUAUUGACAACGAUAGCUAAUACCGCAUACUAAUAGAUGGACCUGCUUUGUAUUAGCUAGUAGGUAGGGUAAUGGCCUAACUAGGCAACGAAACAUAGUCGACGGGAGAGUGUGAUCGGCCACACGGGGACUGAUACACGGCCCAGACUCCUACGGGAGGCAGCAGUAGGGAAUCUUCGGCAAUGGGGGGAAACCUGACCUAGCAACGCCGCGGGAGUGAAGAAGGUUUUCGGAUCGUAAAGCUCUGUUGUUAAGGAAGCGGUACUUAACCAGAAAGGGACGGCUAACUACGUGCCAGCAGCCGCGGUAAUUC